GCGAGUCACGCCGCAAGGCGUGGCAUACGGCUCAGUAACACGUAGUCAACAUACCCAGGGGACGUGGAUAACCUCGGGAAACUGAGGAUAAACCGCGAUAGGCCAAGAUUUCUGGAAUAGAUCAUGGCUGAAAUCUAUACGGCCUCUGGAUUGGACUGCGGCCGAUCAGGCUGUUGGUGAGGUAAUGGCCCACCAAACCUAUAACCGGUACGGGCUUUGAGAGAAGGAGCCCGGAGAUGGGCACUGAGACAAGGGCCCAGGUCCUAUGGGGCGCAGCAGGCGCGAAACCUCUGCAAUAGGCGAAAGCUUGACAGGGUUACUCUGAGUGAUGUCCGUUAAGGGCAUCUUUUGGCACCUCUAAAAAUGGUGCAGAAUAAGGGGUGGGCAAGUCUGGUGUCAGCCGCCGCGGUAAUACCAGCACCCCGAGUGGUCGGGACGAUUAUUGGGCCUAAAGCAUCCGUAGCUUGUUCUGCAAGUCUUCCGUUAAAUCCACCUGCUCAACAGAUGGGCUGCGGGGGAUACUACAGGGCUAGGAGGCGGGAGAGGCAAGCGGUACUCAGUGGGUAGGGGUAAAAUCCACUGAUCCACUGAAGACCACCAGUGGCGAAGGCGGCUUGCCAGAACGCGCUCGACGGUGGGGGAUGAAAGCUGGGGGAGCAAACCGGAUUAGAUACCCGGGUAGUCCCAGCUGUAAACGAUGCAGACUCGGUGAUGG
This 715-nucleotide ribosomal RNA is filed under the name uncultured archaeon. RNAcentral's name for it is "bacterial SSU rRNA". It matches the Rfam family "Archaeal small subunit ribosomal RNA", at positions 53 to 777 of the family's 1478-position model. The record is from RNAcentral.